This is a non-coding RNA of Schistosoma mansoni, 46 nucleotides long. The record is from Rfam. Lineage: Eukaryota; Metazoa; Platyhelminthes; Trematoda; Strigeidida; Schistosomatidae.
GCACUGCUGAGGAGUCCCAUAAUAGGACGAAACGGCUGUUGAGUAC